RNAcentral lists this ribosomal RNA (459 nucleotides) under uncultured bacterium. RNAcentral describes it as "partial 16S ribosomal RNA". It matches the Rfam family "Bacterial small subunit ribosomal RNA", at positions 338 to 795 of the family's 1533-position model. The record is from RNAcentral.
CCUACGGGUGGCAGCAGUGAGGAAUAUUGGUCAAUGGGAGAGAUCCUGAACCAGCCAAGCCGCGGGAGGGAAGACGGCCCUAUGGGUUGUAAACCUCUUUUGUCGGGGAACAAAACCCGGGACGUGUCCCGGACUGCGUGUAUCCGCAGAAAAAGCAUCGGCUAACUCCGUGCCAGCAGCCGCGGUAAUACGGAGGAUGCGAGCGUUAUCAGGAGGUAUUGGGUUUCAAGGGUGCGUAGGCGGUCCGUUAAGUCAGAGGUAAAAGUGCGGGGCUCAACCCCGUCGAGCCGGUGAAACUGGCAGACUUGAGUUGGCGAGAAGGACGCGGAAUGCGCGGUGUAGCGGUGAAAUGCAUAGAUAGCGCGCAGAACUCCGAUUGCGAAGGCAGCGUACCGGCGCCAGACUGACGCGGAGGCACGAAAGCGUGGGGAUCGAACAGGAUUAGAUACCCGAGUAGUC